Molecule: long non-coding RNA, 546 nt
Organism: Ailuropoda melanoleuca (giant panda)
Lineage: Eukaryota; Metazoa; Chordata; Mammalia; Carnivora; Ursidae
Exons: 3
Source: RefSeq, a predicted model, not a curated record
CCCCAUCCUCUCUCAUGUCCUAGUUCCGAUGCUCCCACAGAGACCCUGCUUGUCCAGCUAUGCAGCGACCGUCCCAGAUGGGGACCACUCUGGUGCAAUCGGUGGAGGUCCCGAUAGACAAGGACGGACAGGGAAAAGCUCCUUCUUCGUGGAAAGUACGCACUCUUUUCUACCCUUCUGCCCCGCAGAGAAGCUUUCUGUCUAGGACGCUGAAUUCGAGAGAGGACCUCGGCCGCGCUCUACCGCACGCCUACCAUCUACUUACGCGCGUGAACGGGGUGUGGCUGCCGCCCUUCGGUGACUCAAGGUCUGGUUUCCUUGCUUAAGGAGGUGGCAAUUGGACACGACUUGAGUUCUCUGAAGACGUGGUGCCCGCGGAGGAGUCGGGGCAGAGAAGCCUCAAUGGCGGUCUGUGUUUGGAAGCCCUGCAGGGGCCCAGAGGACUCAGAUGAUGCUGGGACGGGGCCACCAUUGUAAGGAGCCCGGGGGAGCUCCUCCGGGACCUCCCGCCCACGGAGGGUUCACCAACCUCACCGGCGACUGAUG